Molecule: long non-coding RNA, 441 nt
Filed under: Lathyrus oleraceus (garden pea)
Lineage: Eukaryota; Viridiplantae; Streptophyta; Magnoliopsida; Fabales; Fabaceae
Description: Pisum sativum (pea) long non-coding RNA (PSAT_LNC014741)
Source: RNAcentral
UUGCUAUUAUCACCCCAUUAGAAAAUUUGUGGAAGACAAAUUCAGAAGUCUAAAGCAUGGACUGGAACUAGCAGACAAGGGUGCAAGGAAUUUGGGUAAAAUUAAAAUUGAAUAUGAGGGAGGGAAAUUAGGGAUUUGUACUCUUGAGAAAUUAUGGCAGUUAAAGUGGAAAAAUAAAGAAAAUAAAAAUAGUGUCUGCCCUUUUAAAAGAAAGAGCCACAUUAAUGCUAAAUCAUUCCCUGGCAUUGAAAAUAGUAUCUAUUCCCUUAGCACACGCUACCUAAACACAACAAUCUCCCUUCCAUUCAUCUUCUCAGAGAAGCUCGGCUAGGGCAAAGAAACUUUUCUCAAAAGUCCUACAACAUGUCUCAACAUUCAUCAUCAUCUAGUUCAGAAUCUUCUCACCAUGGAAAAACUCCCUCAAUGGAGUUUGUAGAUGAA